UGACCGUAAGGACAUGUGGACAGUAUGGGAGUGAGAAUGUUGGCAUGAGUAGCGAGAUGUGGGUGAGAAUCCCACAGGCCGUAAACCCAAGGUUUCCAGGGGAAGGUUCGUCCGCCCUGGGUUAGUCGGGACCUAAGCUGAGGCCGAAAGGCGUAGGUGAUGGACAACAGGUUGAUAUUCCUGUACUACCGAUAACCGUUUGAGAGAAGGGAUGACACAGUAGGAUAAGCUAAGCACACUGUUGGUUAUGUGUGCCCAAGCAUUGAGGCAGUCAAAGUAGGCAAAUCCGCUUUGAUAAUGCUGGGAUGUGAUGGGGAGCGAAAUUUAGUAGCGAAGUAGCUGAUUUCACACUGUCAAGAAAAGUCUCUAUCGAGGUUAAAGGUACCCGUACCGCAAACCGACACAGGUGGGUGAGGAGAGUAUCCUAAGGCCAGCGAGAGAACUGUUGUUAAGGAACUCGGCAAAAUGACCCCGUAACUUAGGGAUAAGGGGUGCCACCAUCAGGUGGCCGCAGAGAAUAGGCCCAAGCGACUGUUUACCAAAAACAUAGGUUUCUGCUAAGUCGCAAGACGAUGUAUAGGAGCUGACGCCUGCCCGGUGCUGGAAGGUUAAGGGGAUCUGUUAGAGCAAUCGAAGCAGUGAACUUAAGCCCCAGUAAACGGCGGCCGUAACUAUAACGGUCCUAAGGUAGCGAAAUUCCUUGUCGGGUAAGUUCCGACCCGCACGAAAGGCGUAACGAUUUGGGCACUGUCUCAACAACAGACUCGGUGAAAUUGUAAUUCCGGUGAAGAUGCCGGAUACCUGCGACAGGACGGAAAGACCCCAUGGAGCUUUACUGUAGCUUGACAUUGGGUCUUGGUACUACAUGUACAGGAUAGGUGGGAGGCUUUGAAACCAGGACGCCAGUUUUGGCGGAGCCAUCCUUGGGAUACCACCCUUGUAGUACUGGGACUCUAACCAUAGGCCAUGAAUCUGGUCUUGGGACACUGUCAGGUGGGCAGUUUGACUGGGGCGGUCGCCUCCCAAAAGGUAACGGAGGCGCUCAAAGGUUCUCUCAGUACGGUCGGAAAUCGUACGUAGAGUGUAAAGGCAAAAGAGAGCUUGAUUGCAAGACAUACAGGUCGAGCAAGGAUGAAAAUCGGACUUAGUGAUCCGGUGGUUCUGCGUGGAAGGGCCAUCGCUCAACGGAUAAAAGCUACCCUGGGGAUAACAGGCUUAUCUCCCCCAAGAGUCCACAUCGACGGGGAGGUUUGGCACCUCGAUGUCGGCUCAUCACAUCCUGGGGCUGUAGUAGGUCCCAAGGGUUGGGCUGUUCGCCCAUUAAAGUGGUACGCGAGCUGGGUUCAGAACGUCGUGAGACAGUUCGGUCCCUAUCCGUCGCAGGCGUAGGAAAUUUGAGAAGACCUGUCCUUAGUACGAGAGGACCGGGAUGGACGUACCUCUGGUGUACCAGUUGU
Molecule: ribosomal RNA, 1457 nt
Filed under: Clostridioides difficile
Lineage: Bacteria; Bacillati; Bacillota; Clostridia; Peptostreptococcales; Peptostreptococcaceae
Description: bacterial LSU rRNA
Rfam family: Bacterial large subunit ribosomal RNA
Source: RNAcentral